GCGGAAGUGGCGGAAUUGGUAGACGCACCAGAUUUAGGUUCUGACGCCGCAAGGUGUGAGAGUUCAAGUCUCUCCUUCCGCACCA
This 85-nucleotide transfer RNA is filed under the name Vibrio parahaemolyticus. RNAcentral describes it as "tRNA-Leu". It matches the Rfam family "tRNA". Rfam says of the family: Transfer RNA (tRNA) molecules are approximately 80 nucleotides in length. Their secondary structure includes four short double-helical elements and three loops (D, anti-codon, and T loops). Lineage: Bacteria; Pseudomonadati; Pseudomonadota; Gammaproteobacteria; Vibrionales; Vibrionaceae. RNAcentral also lists the same sequence under 1 other name. The record is from RNAcentral.